RNAcentral lists this ribosomal RNA (396 nucleotides) under uncultured bacterium. Its description in RNAcentral is "bacterial SSU rRNA". It matches the Rfam family "Bacterial small subunit ribosomal RNA", at positions 30 to 403 of the family's 1533-position model. The record is from RNAcentral.
GCGAACGCUGGCGGCAUGCCUAACACAUGCAAGUCUGACGGGCGGGGGGCAACCUCUGUCAGUGGCGGACGGGUGAGGAACGCGUAGGAACGUAUCCAAGGGUGGGGGACGAACCGCGGGAACGUGCGGCUAAUACCGCAUGGGGCCGUUUAGGGAGGACCUGAAAGGGGGAGGACCUCGGGGGCCGAAAGGCGUGGGGAGGACCUAGUCGCCUGUGGAGCGGCCUGCGUCCGAUUAGCUAGUUGGUGGGGUGACGGCUUACCAAGGCAGCGAUCGGUAGCUGGUCUGAGAGGAUGAUCAGCCACACUGGGACUGAGACACGGCCCAGACUCCUACGGAGGCAGCAGUGGGGAGUAUUGGACAAUGGGCGAAAGCCUGAUCCAGCAAUGCCGCGGU